GCUGCAAUUACGUCAGUCAUGGCAGAUCACGUGGUGUUUGCUUUCUUUAUCGCAGAUGAACUGGAAGCGAUAGAAAUUCCAUUAUUAUUGCAUGAAAUUGAGCACAAUGAGCAACGAAAAAUGGUUCCAAAAAUAGACAAUUUUGUGGAGGAUGUUGUCCCUCUCUACAGUCCCUCAGAAUUUAGAGGUCAUUUCAGGCUCACCAAAGAACAAGUGGAGCUCCUCAACAAUUGUUCCCAAGCUGGUCAACAUCUU
This is a non-coding RNA of Pimephales promelas (fathead minnow), 255 nucleotides long. Lineage: Eukaryota; Metazoa; Chordata; Actinopteri; Cypriniformes; Leuciscidae. The record is from RefSeq and is a predicted model, not a curated record.